GAUGGAAGUUGGCUCAGCUGGUAGAGCAUGAGACUCUUAAUCCCAGGGGUGUGGAUUCGAGAUUCAAGAUUCCUUCA
Molecule: non-coding RNA, 77 nt
Organism: Podarcis lilfordi (Lilford's wall lizard)
Lineage: Eukaryota; Metazoa; Chordata; Lepidosauria; Squamata; Lacertidae
Source: the annotation of a GenBank genome assembly